AUAGUAAUCUCUAGUGAGUUGCCUGUAGCUGAGAGCUUUCCUGGCCCAGGGAUGUCAGCUCCAGGUUUAACAAUCUCCAGACCCCAAGUCUUUUCUUAAAGAAAUGGGUGUUUGAACUUAUGUCUGCCAAAGAGGAAAAACAGGAUGGCCAGGAAACUGGAGCUCGAGUCAUCGGAGACAUCCCAGACUACCGCCUGCUAGCCAUGCUGGCCCUCUGUCUUUUCCUUCCAAUGGGUUCCUUAGCCUUUCUCUUCUACUUCAAGACAGUAAUCUACAAGGAACAGAAUGAAUACGAGAAGGCACUACUCACUUCCAAACGCACCUUCCUUUUUGCCUUGGCCUCCAUCAUUGUAGGAUUCUUUGUUCUCUUCCUAUUUUACCUCCUCUUGUAUCGUCUGUCACAGUCCUGGAACAAACCAUCGGAAACAUACAACACCACAACCUAACCCCGCCUGCAACUUCAGACUCGCCAGACCAGCCGCUCUUUAAUGUCCGGCGUGCCACGCUUAUCGAGAUCAGAAAUAAAAAAAAAACGAUAACAGCAA
Mesocricetus auratus (golden hamster) is the source of this 545-nucleotide long non-coding RNA. RefSeq lists it as uncharacterized. The transcript is spliced from 4 exons. The record is from RefSeq and is a predicted model, not a curated record. Lineage: Eukaryota; Metazoa; Chordata; Mammalia; Rodentia; Cricetidae.